CCUACGGGGGGCUGCAGUGGGGAAUUUUGGACAAUGGGGGCAACCCUGAUCCAGCCAUGCCGCGUGCGGGAAGAAGGCCUUCGGGUUGUAAACCGCUUGUGUCAGGGAAGAAAUCUUCCGAGCUAAUACCUUGGGAGGAUGACGGUACCUGAAGAAUAAGCACCGGCUAACUACGUGCCAGCAGCCGCGGUAAUACGUAGGGUGCAAGCGUUAAUCGGAAUUACUGGGCGUAGUUCUGGCGGAGCGGGUUGAACUCCCCGGGCUUAACCUGGGAACUGCACUUGUGACUGUACGGCUGGAGUACGGCAGAGGGUGAUGGAAUUCCGCGUGUAGCAGUGAAAUGCGUAGAUAUGCGGAGGAACACCGAUGGCGAAGGCAGUCCCCUGGGCCUGUACUGACGCUCAUGCACGAAAGCGUGGGGAGCAAACAGGAUUAGAUACCCCGGUAGUC
RNAcentral lists this ribosomal RNA (450 nucleotides) under uncultured bacterium. RNAcentral's name for it is "partial 16S ribosomal RNA". It matches the Rfam family "Bacterial small subunit ribosomal RNA", at positions 338 to 795 of the family's 1533-position model. The record is from RNAcentral.